CAGCAGCCGCGGUAAGACAGAGGAUGCAAGCUUUAUCCGGAAUGAUUGGGCGUAAAGCGUCUAUAGGUGGCUUUUCAAGUCCACCGUCAAAUCCCCGGGCUCAACCCUGGACAAGCAGUGGAAACUACCAAGCUGGAGUACGGUAGGGGCAGAGGGAAUUUCCAGUGGAGCGGUAAAAUGCGUUGAGAUCGGAAAGAACACCAACGGCGAAAACACUCUGCUGGGCCAACACUGACACUGAGAGACGAAAGCUAGGGGAGCCAAUGGGAUUAGAUACCCCCGUAGUCCCUGUCUCUUAUAC
This 301-nucleotide ribosomal RNA is filed under the name uncultured bacterium. Its description in RNAcentral is "partial 16S ribosomal RNA". It matches the Rfam family "Bacterial small subunit ribosomal RNA", at positions 509 to 807 of the family's 1533-position model. The record is from RNAcentral.